This 465-nucleotide ribosomal RNA is filed under the name uncultured bacterium. RNAcentral's name for it is "partial 16S ribosomal RNA". It matches the Rfam family "Bacterial small subunit ribosomal RNA", at positions 29 to 507 of the family's 1533-position model. The record is from RNAcentral.
AAUGAACGUUGGCGGCGUGGAUUAGGCAUGCAAGUCGAGCGAGAACCCCGCAAGGGGGGACAGCGGCGAAAGGGACAGUAAUGUGUAGAUUAUCUGCCCUCAGGUCCGGGAUAGCUGCGGGAAACUGCAGGUAAUACCGGAUAACAUCUCCGGAUCAAAGGUGUGAUUCCGCCUGAGGAUGAGUCUGCAUCCUAUUAGCUAGUUGGUGGGGUAAUGGCCUACCAAGGCAUUGAUGGGUAGCAGGUGUGAGAGCACGACCUGCGUCAUUGGGACUGAGACACUGCCCAGACACCUACGGGUGGCUGCAGUCGAGAAUCUUCGGCAAUGGGCGCAAGCCUGACCGAGCGACGCCGCGUGCGGGAUGAAGGCCUUCGGGUUGUAAACCACUGUCAGAGGGGAUGAAAUGCAGGUGGGUUCUCCCAUCUGUUUGACAUAGCCUCAGAGGAAGAACGGGCUAAGUUCGUG